AUGCUAUCACCCAUGCACGCAGUGAUGGCAUGGUGGCCGAAGAAGGCCGUCUUCUGGGGAGCCGCGCGCUGGCCGCCAUAUCCACCCGCGGCCACACCAACAAGACAGGUGAUUUUAGGGUUGGUUCUGUCUGAAACCAAGCUGGCAUUAAUAUGCAGAGAAGGUUCACCUGACAUAAUGACCAACAAGAGCAAGUUGUUUUUUCUUGAUGAAAAUGAUAGCUACCACUUGAUGAGAUUUAUCAAUACAAGCAUUUCCUCUAAUUUUAUCUGUAGGUCUGCAGGAGGUGCCUUUGAGAACUUGAUCAGCUACUCGAGCUUCAUUGUCAGCGAAGUCUCCACUGGGUUGCCCAGAUCUGUCUUGAAUUGCUUCAUUGAUGACAAUUUGGAGAAGGCUCCGCUGACACUUACAAAGGAUGUUUUCCUUUGUUGGAAAGACGAGGAUACGCUGGAGAUAGACAUGGGGUGGUAA
This 471-nucleotide ribosomal RNA is filed under the name Triticum aestivum (bread wheat). Its description in RNAcentral is "partial small subunit ribosomal RNA". Lineage: Eukaryota; Viridiplantae; Streptophyta; Magnoliopsida; Poales; Poaceae. The record is from RNAcentral.